GACGAACGCUGGCGGCGUGCCUAAUACAUGCAAGUCGAGCGGACGGAUGGGAGCUUGCUCCCAGACCGUCAGCGGCGGACGGGUGAGUAACACGUGGGCAACCUGCCUGUAAGACUGGGAUAACUCCGGGAAACCGGGGCUAAUAACGGAUAACUCUUUCCCUCACAUGAGGGAAAGCUGAAAGAUGGCAUCUCGCUAUCACUUACAGAUGGGCCCGCGGCGCAUUAGCUAGUUGGUGAGGUAACGGCUCACCAAGGCGACGAUGCGUAGCCGACCUGAGAGGGUGAUCGGCCACACUGGAACUGAGACACGGCCCAGACUCCUACGGGAGGCAGCAGUAGGGAAUCUUCCGCAAAGGACGAAAGUCUGACGGAGCAACGCCGCGUGAGUGAUGAAGGUUUUCGGAUCGUAAAACUCUGUUGUCAGGGAAGAACAAGUACCGGAGUAACUGCCGGUACCUUGACGGUACCUGACCAGAAAGCCACGGCUAACUACGUG
RNAcentral lists this ribosomal RNA (498 nucleotides) under uncultured bacterium. RNAcentral's name for it is "partial 16S ribosomal RNA". It matches the Rfam family "Bacterial small subunit ribosomal RNA", at positions 28 to 507 of the family's 1533-position model. The record is from RNAcentral.